This is a long non-coding RNA of Egretta garzetta (little egret), 287 nucleotides long. RefSeq lists it as uncharacterized. NCBI's taxonomy places the organism in Eukaryota, Metazoa, Chordata, Aves, Pelecaniformes, Ardeidae. The transcript is spliced from 3 exons. The record is from RefSeq and is a predicted model, not a curated record.
UAUAUUUUUCCUCAAUCUUCAUGCGUGGGAGGUACACUUCCACUCUCCUCUUUUCCAUCACAUUGGGACUGGUCCAUUCCGGCCAUACCUGCUCCAGGCCAGAGAUGUCAUCGGGCAACAGCACCAACAUGCUCAGCUCCCCGCUGGCGUACGGAAGCUCCAGGACCUUAAUUUUCUCUGCAGCCAGCACCGCCAAUUUGAAGGUGAGAACCCCAUCAGUGGGUAACAUACUUCAGUGAUGUUACUGAGAAGGAACAAGCCCAAACAGAGGUCACUUCACAUCCAUG